CUUGACGACCAUAGCAAGGUGGUCCCACUCCUUCCCAUCCCGAACAGGACAGUGAAACGCCUUUGCGCCGAUGAUAGUGGACGGACGUCUGUGAAAGUAGGUCAUCGUCAAGC
Molecule: ribosomal RNA, 113 nt
Filed under: Achromobacter xylosoxidans
Lineage: Bacteria; Pseudomonadati; Pseudomonadota; Betaproteobacteria; Burkholderiales; Alcaligenaceae
Also listed under: 5 other names
Source: RNAcentral